CACAUUGUAGGGUGUUUUAAGUGGACAACCAGAACCUUGUCAGGAUGUUUCUAGCAAGACUAACUUCUGAGUCAGCACAUCGACUGCCCUCUGUGGAUCCAAUAACUUUAACUUCAUGGCUGGGCAAAGGGCCAACCAGGAAGCAGGAUAACACAUCUAUCAACAGACAGUUGUGGAAGAAACAAAUCAGCUUAAAGAUGUAAACUCUCAUUUGAGACGAAUUCUGGAGAGUUUUCUAAACCUCCCAACGAUGUGUCUUUCGACACGUUUUCUAUAAGGAAGUAUAAUGAAUGAAUAUUGGGAUAUCUAGAGCAAACCUAAUUUUUGGAUGUUUGGAAACAAAUUCAGGUGGGACUGAGUUUUUUGAGAUGGUAAAUCCACGGAGCAUUCGUGCCCAGAAUGGAUGGAUGGAUGCACACAUGGCAAAAGCAAUGGUUCAGUGUCCAGGUUUUCGGAACAGCCCCAGAGCCUUUCGGUGCUUAUUUAAUGUUAAAAGAAAAUCCCAAAUUUUCCAGUACGGAAAAGUCUAAUUCCGGUCUCCAAACCUGAGCCCUGCCGUGACCCGUGGCUUGGGGUUUUGCUUAUGACCAGCUUACCAAUGGAAAAGCUAGUGAUAAUAAAGAUUUCGGUUGGUUCUCUUUGGAUAAUUCUACUGCACACAGCAAGACAUCGAGGCAUUUCAAGGCAUAGAGGAAAGAAAGCAACAGCCCCACACUCAGCUUUUAAGGCAUUUGGUGAAGUAGACGACACAGUGGUAGAGAAAAGAGGGGACAGGAG
RNAcentral lists this long non-coding RNA (777 nucleotides) under Rattus norvegicus (Norway rat). RNAcentral describes it as "long non-coding RNA NONRATT009115". The record is from RNAcentral. Lineage: Eukaryota; Metazoa; Chordata; Mammalia; Rodentia; Muridae.